Sander lucioperca (pikeperch) is the source of this 1475-nucleotide long non-coding RNA. RefSeq lists it as uncharacterized. NCBI's taxonomy places the organism in Eukaryota, Metazoa, Chordata, Actinopteri, Perciformes, Percidae. The transcript has 2 exons. The record is from RefSeq and is a predicted model, not a curated record.
UGACGACGAUGACGACGACGACGACGAUGACGAUGACGAUGACGAUGACGAUGACGAUGACGAUGACGACGAUGACGACGACGACGACGACGAUGAUGAUGAUCAUGAAGAGUUAUGAGCACUCUGGGGAAAUUGAACUGGCCCAUCUGAAGUCCAACUGUCCGAAGUCCUUCGUACAGUACACUAGAUAUGAACUUGCGGACUGCAGAAGCAUUGAUUUGAGAGAGAGAAAGAACAAAAAAACUGUUUCACACAAACCAAGCCUGACUUGGGAAUCAGUCAUUGGGGUCACUAGUCUGAGAUCUUUUGAUUUGUGUUUCGUUUGAAAGAAUGGUUCCUCAACUAGGAUCUUCCUUUCUCAUUUGUUUUGGAUCAGAUUGACCUGCAUUUGUGUCUUUAUGUGAACCUACAGAGAAAGAAAGAGAGACAGCGAUAUUGGGGAUGGGGGAUCGGGGUGCUAGAGAAACAGACAAAGGGAGAAUAAAGCGCGAGGGGAGGUGCAGGAGGGCCACUACCUAAAUUCAUUCAUUUAAAAGCUUAGAAUAUCAACAGAUGUAAAGUUUCUCUCUUUCUCCAUAUCUCUCAAUCUCUUUCUUUCUCUGUGGAGCAUUUUGCAGCUGUCUGUUAAAGAGCCAUGUAAUGCACUUGUAAAAUUGCUAAACACAGAUAAGGUAAUAGAAUAACUUUCAAUGUAUCUAUGAACUUUACUAAUCAUGUCUCUUUAUUUUCUAAAACGCUAAUUUUCUGAACCAUUAGAUAAAAAGAUAACUUUUGAUGCACAUGUCAGUAGCUUAUUUUAAUGAUGAAUAUUUGUUUUGAGUUUUGAGCAAUUCCCCCCUUACUAUUUAAUGGUUAUUUGGCAAUUCAAUACAAAUAUUUGAGUCAUUUGUGAAAGUAGGCUGAAGAUAUGUAUAACUCCCCACUUGUUAUCAAAUGUUACAACAGUGGAUUUGCUGAUGAUUUUUCAGACCUUCAGGGAGAGAGUGUUUGGGAAAAGAGAGAAACAUCUCUUUCUAUAAAGGAAGUAAAAGAGCUAAAGCUCUGUCAAAUGUCAAAUUUGUCAAGAGAUGAAAUGGUUGUAUGCUUUUUUUCUCUUCUUCUUUGGCAAAAACAUUUUUUGUGAUGACUGAACAUUGAUGUGUGGAAAAUAUGACAAUCACCACUGUCCUUAUGUCGUCAACCCAACUUUCAUUCAUUAAAUAAAUCAAAUGAUCAUAAACUGCCUACAUUUCAAAUCUGUUACCAAAGAUUUGUACUAGAGCUAUAACAAUGCAUGGAGAGCAUCAUUACUUUUUAUCAGAGGCCUGUAAACAUGUGUUUGGUCAUAUUACCUGUAUGAGGACCAGAAUGCUGAGCUACAGACAUUUGAAACCUGUGAGUAUCUGUUCUGACCACAGCAUGUUCUAUAUCAACUGUUGGGCACAAAUGUAAUACGGCUGCAAUAUACUUAAAUAAAAUUAAGAGUCUGACACAGA